This 149-nucleotide unclassified non-coding RNA is filed under the name soil metagenome. RNAcentral's name for it is "partial internal transcribed spacer 1". The record is from RNAcentral.
UAAUAAGUGUUUUAGUGCACUUUUUAAAUCCAUAUCCACCUUGUGUGCAAUGUCAGUCGAUCUUCUUCAUUGGAGAUUCGACCAAACAUUCAACCUUUAUCUUUUAACUACUUUGUCUGAAAAAUAUUAUGAAUAAACAAUUCAAAAUA